Molecule: ribosomal RNA, 393 nt
Filed under: uncultured bacterium
Lineage: Bacteria
Description: partial 16S ribosomal RNA
Rfam family: Bacterial small subunit ribosomal RNA
Source: RNAcentral
AUACGGAAGGUCCGGGCGUUAUCCGGAUUUAUUGGGUUUAAAGGGAGCGCAGGCGGAGAUGCAAGCGUGACGUCAAAUUUCGGGGCUCAACCCCGUCUCGCGUCGCGAACUGCGUCCCUUGGUUGCGGGAAGGGGAGGCGGAACUCGUGGUGUAGCGGUGAAAUGCAUAGAUAUCACGAAGAACUCCGAUCGCGAAGGCAGCCUUCCGGCCCGUCAACGACGCUCAUGCUCGAAGGUGCGGGUAUCAAACAGGAGUAGAUACCCUGGUAGUCCGCACAGUAAACGAUGAUGACUAACUGCCGGCCCGUUGCGGGUCGGUGGCCAAGCGAAAGCGAUAAGUCAUCCACCUGGGGAGUACGACCGCAAGGUUGAAACUCAAAGGAAUUGGCGGGG